This 311-nucleotide ribosomal RNA is filed under the name uncultured Verrucomicrobiota bacterium. RNAcentral describes it as "bacterial SSU rRNA". It matches the Rfam family "Bacterial small subunit ribosomal RNA", at positions 143 to 447 of the family's 1533-position model. Lineage: Bacteria; Pseudomonadati; Verrucomicrobiota. The record is from RNAcentral.
AUACCUCGGCGAAAGCCGGAUUAAUACCGCAUGUGAUUAGGGGAGACAUCUCUCCGAAAUCAAAGGUGGCGAAAGCUACCGCUUUUUGAGGGGCCCGCGGCCUAUCAGCUAGUUGGUGAGGUAACGGCUCACCAAGGCGAUGACGGGUAGCUGGUCUGAGAGGACGACCAGUCACACUGGGACUGAGACACGGCCCAUACACCUACGGGUGGCAGCAGUCGAGAAUUUUUCUCAAUGGGGGAAACCCUGAAGGAGCGACGCCGCGUGGAGGAUGAAGGUCUUCGGGUUGUAAACUCCUGUCAUUUGGGAAC